Molecule: long non-coding RNA, 251 nt
Filed under: Elaeis guineensis (African oil palm)
Lineage: Eukaryota; Viridiplantae; Streptophyta; Magnoliopsida; Arecales; Arecaceae
Description: long non-coding RNA (EGUI_LNC066426)
Source: RNAcentral
GUGGUGUGGGGCUUGUUUAAGAAGAGUUUAAUCCAAUUAGAACUCUUCCUUUAUAGCUAAUUUAAAUCAAAUAAAAAUAUCAAUAAGUUAUAAUCAUAUUAAGACUUGAUUAGACUCAAAAAGAUGAGAAUCUAAAUCUAAUUUAGAGCCUAAUUAAUUUAGACUGGAUGUCUCCUAUUUGAAGGAGGAGUCCUAGUCCAAUUGGACUCUUUCUUGUUGCCUGAGUCAAACUCAAUUUUAAUCCUAAUCCC